This 10701-nucleotide long non-coding RNA is filed under the name Equus caballus (horse). Its description in RNAcentral is "lncRNA (ENSECAG00000045947.1)". The record is from RNAcentral. Lineage: Eukaryota; Metazoa; Chordata; Mammalia; Perissodactyla; Equidae.
CAGAGUUCAGUUUUUAAAAUGACCCAAGGAUAUGCUGUUUACAAGAAACUUGCUUCAAAUUCAACAAUGACCUUUCCCUGAGGAGGACAUACAAAUGCAAAGAAACACGGGAAAGGACAGCCCGCAUCGGGAGCCGAUAGGCAGAUGCGAAUUAAAACCAUGAUGAGAUAUCACUGCACACCUAUCAGAAGGGCGGAAAUGAAAAAUAGUGACCACACCAAAUUCUGGCGCGGAUGCAGAGAACCCGGAUCCCUCCCACAGCGCCAGCGGGGAGGAGAAGUGGCACAGCCCCUCUGUCAAACAGUUCGGCCGUUUCUGACGAGACUAAACAUGCAAUUAGCACAUGACUCAGCAGUUGCGUUCUCCAGCAUUUAUCCCAGGGAGAGGCAGGCUUGCGUUCUCACAGGAGUCUGCUCCCGAAUGUGCGUAGCAGCCUUCUUCUAAUAGCCAAAAAUCGGAAACACCCAGAUGACCUUCAAUGGGUGAAAGGUUAAAUGGCACAUCCACACCAUGGAAUACUACUCAGCAAUAAAAUGGAUCGUUGACACACACAACAACUUGGAUUAAUCUGCCGGGAAUUGUUUUGAGUGAAAAAAGCCAGUCCCAAAACGUCACGCGGUGUGUGAUCCUAUUUAUAUAACAUUCUUGAAAUGACGAAAUUCUAGAAACGGAGAGCAGUUAGUGGGUCUGGGUGGCGGUCGGGGGGUUGGAGGCAGAGGAGGGCGGGAGGUGGGUGUGGUUACAAAAGGAGAACAAAAGAGAUUGUUGAGGUGAUGGAACAGGUCAGUAUCUGGGCUGUGGUGCUGGAGGACCCUACACAGGCAAUAGAAUUAUACAGACUAAAUACACACACGCAUGUGCGGACAAGCCAAACUGGGGACGUGUCCGUAGACGGGCGCCUUGCAUCAGUGUCGAGAUUCUGGUUGCGAUGCUGUGCUGUAGUUUUACAAGAUGUUACCACUGGGGGACGCUGGGCAGAGGGCACACGGGAUCUCUGUGUGUUACUUCUUACAAUACCAUGUGAAUCUACAAGGAUCUUAACAUGAAAAGGUCGAUUCCAAAGAUGAAUAAACAAAAAAUAAAUGAAACCAAUCAAAAUUCCCUCUGGACCGCACUGAGCUCCAGUUCGGCCCUCUGUCUGCCUGCCCCAACACCUCUGCCCCCAUCCCGGAUCGGGAUUCCUCAACCGCAUUGCCCUCCGUCUGCUCCCAGCUGCCUCCAGCCCUCAGUGACCAAAGCACAGCACAAAAUUCAAGGUUACGGCUUCUCCUGGGCUAUCCCAAAAGCAAAGCCUGAGACAGGACUGGCUUGAUUUGCAGGUGGUUUGUUUGGAAAAGCGACCCCAGGGAGAGGAGUAAGGAGGAGAGAGCGGGUGGCAGGGAAGGGGGUGAACCAGCGUGAGGAUGUCUUGUGGAGUGGCUGUCGCUAUGUGCUACUGGUGCCUGGCCCUGGGCGCCUCCGGAGCAUGAAAGGGAGAAGCAUUUGUUCAUCGCAGGCUCCCGCUGGUUGAGGGUGACUCUGAGGGUAUACUUAGGGGCUGCAGGUGUGUGGGUGCUGAGUGGGCUCCUUUGGGCUCCCCGACCUUGGGCAGGAAUCAAGAGGAGCCAGGACUUAAAGAACAGGAAAGAGCUCAUGUCCAUCUCUGGCUUCUGAGCCGCGUCAGCUUCCCGUGGUGCCCUGCGGAGCCUCAGUGCAUCGCACACCCUGUGGGGCCCCCCACUCAGCCUGCCCCUCAGGGGCUUCCAUCCCAGCAAAGUGGCUCCAUCCGCCCGGAUGCUCAGCCAGGCUCUGGAGCUUGCCCCUCUUCUGCCCCUUCAUCAGAGCCAUUGCUAAAGCUGGCCUCUGUCCACCUCUGUCCACCCGCCCCGUCCUUGUGUGACCACUGUGUCCUGGAGCCCUGCCCAGCCUCGUGCCUCCCCUCCCAGCCUCCAUCCCAUUCUGCCCACCCCAGCAGGAGAGGGGCUUUUUACCCCGCAGGGCGCCGGGAGCAUCCUCCUGCAGACUCCCAGUGGUGUCUGUGGCCUUUAGAACAAAAUGCAAUUCCAUACCUCGGCCUCCAGGUCCCACCCCACACGCUCCCUCCUCUCCACGCUGGCCAGGCAUGCGGCCCUCGUCCCGGCCUUGGCACACAGGACAAGCUGGCCUCCGUCCCUCAGGCAUCAGCGCACGUUCCACGUCUUCAGAGGCCCUUCCUGACCAGCCGACCCGCCCAGUAGGGCCCCACAGUCCUGUCACAGCCUGGGUCGCACUUAGUAAUCACGCGUUUAUCUGAUACAGACACUGGCAGAGUCUGCAAAUGUUCAUUAAGUGCCGGUUGAGCGCCUACCUGUGCCGGGACUGUGCUGUGAGCUUCCGCACACUCUCGGGCAUCUCAUCCCUUAGUCGCUGCCCGGGAGCAUCCUUUCCACCACGCAGCUGGAGAAAACCAGAGCUCGGGAGGGUGAGCAGCUUCUCCGAGGGAGCAGGAAGCUGAUGGAGGCCAGGUCUGCUCUGACUCCCAGCCCACAGGGACUAGAUCCAGCCUAGGGGGAGGUACUCGGAAGCCAGGCUGGCCCGAGGCCAAGAGCAGCUCCCCCCCCCUUGUAACUUGCCAUCGGGGGACGAAGGGGAUGCAUCCAGGCCAGGGCGAGGAGGCCAGGCAGGCUGAGGUUCCCAGGGUCACAGAGCAGAACCUCCCAAGCUUUGAAACAGACCCGCUGAGCUGGCGAGUGGGGCAGACCUCGCCUGCAUGAGCCUGAGUCUCUGCGGGCCAGGCUGGCGGCCCCCGUGAGGGAGGUCCCAUUGGGGACACACCCUUCAUGCGCGAGGAAGGACUGUGUGUUGGGGACCGCAGCGUCUGAGUUCACUGGGUCACAAGCCAGGCGUUUCCUGCGGCCACCUCCUGGCCUGAGCAGUUGUCCUAUGAGACUUCUGCCGAGGGUCAAGCUCAAAGCUGACGACCUCUCUCCCCAGAGGCCAUGACUCUGGGGUCUGUGGGGGGCGCCCUGGGCUACUGGUAAAGUCGAGGGGUGGACAGAAGUGGGGCCUGGCUGAAGCCUGUGCAGUGUCCCUCCUGUGCCCUCCCCAGCACGCACCCAGCUGCUCCGGGCCGCCCAGCUCGGAGAAAACUCACAGAGAGAUCGAAAGUCCCUGUGUGCCUGGCUGGUGGUGUGGAGGGGCACUGGAGGCCCCCAAACCCCAGGGGGCCAGCAGGGGCCUGGCAGGAGGAAGUCCCUGGGGUGGUGCCUGCAGAAGCGCUGAGUUCCCAAAGUACGUGGUUUAGGACAAGAUGGUGGAUGGUGGCUCUGCGGCCCAGUGAGGCUGAGAACUCCCCUAGGUCACAGGUCACAGACCAGGGCCUGCCACCCCCACCCAGGGAGGUCGUUGCAGCAGGUGCCGCAGCACUGCCGAGCGGGAUUCGGGAUUUUAGUUACAAGUGGGCCUCAAUGCUCGGGGUCUUCCAGACUCUGUGUCCCCCCACAGCACAGCAUCCAGGGCUUGGGGGCGCUUGGUGAAGGUCACCGCAGCCAGGACAUGGAUGGGACCGGCGUGUGUGUCCUGAGAGAGAGGAGACUGCAUCAGCUCCACCCUGGGCCCCAAAUUGCUCCAGGGCAGAGGUCCUCCAGCUUUUCCCAGGUAUCUCGCUGCAAACCGAAGAAGAGAGGUCGUGCGGAAAUUGCAGGCCUGCGGCCACUAGGAGCCAAGAGAGGCCCAGCCUGGCAGGUCACCUGGGGCCACUGAGAUUGUCCCCGGCCUCCCCUCCCCGGCAGGUGGGGAAUCCGUCUCUCUAGUUCCUCCAAAUCACGGUUCACGGCCCUGCCUGUGCAGCAGAACCCCCAGCAAUUUUGUGUGAAAAGCACAGAUUCCGAUGCAACUAGUCUGGCGGAGCCCCAGCAAGGCGUUAUUUUAAAGCUCCUGGUGAUUCGCAGCCCAGGCAGAAAGCUCCCUCCAGUCCCCAGCGCCACUGCAGCACCGGCCACGCCGCCGACGUCUCAAGGCCUCCACCUGUCUGUCUGUGAAACGGGAGCAGGACACCUACCUCGCGGGGGCGUGGUGAGAAUUAAGGGGAAAAACUGAGACUUAGUAAUGAGUGUCCCCCCCCCCCGAAGUCCCUCCCCCGGGUCAUCCGAGCCCUGCUUCAGGGCAGCUGCAUAUGUGGAGCUGGAACCAACAGCCCUGGGUCCAAACUCUGACAUUGCUGUUUUCCAGCUGUGACCUUGGGCAAAGGUCGUAGGAAGUCCCAGGGAGUUUUUAAAAAUAUAGACCUCAGACCCCAUCCCAGGCUGACCCAACAAGGACCCUCAAGGAGCAGGAUCCUCGUGUUUCUACCUGAACCAGAACGCCAGGCUCCCAAGACAGCCAGCCUGGCGCCUGCGUCUGGGGUCUGAAACUUCAGACCUCUGAGCAUCUGUUUUCCUUUCUGUUAAAUAGGGUGGUGACAGGGACCCCACAGUCCUAAAGGAAAGGGCUCGAAGCCCAAAGGGCGGUGACAGGCCUCAGCUUCUGCUUCCUCCCCCUGCGCCCCGGCUCCCGAUCCCUCAGGGCUCUGUGUGCCUUCUCCUGGUGGCCUUCAUGAAGGCACAGUGGUGUCAGGGGUGCUCCUGCCCCACUCUCCACUGGACGGCCUUCCCUGGGGUAGCGCUCCUAGCCCAGGGCCUGCCUCCACCCCGGUGAGCAGUCUGACUGGUGAGUCUGGAGGAAAGAGAGGAACAUGCCUGCCUCAGCCUCCCCGUCCCGCAGUGGAAUCACCAGCUGCACAGAGUACUUGGGAGCCUCGGUGCUCCAGGCCCGGAAACAGGGGCAGCUCCCAGAGCAGGAGCUGCUGCGUGAGUGAUUUGUGGGUCCCAGUACAAAAAGAAAAUGCGGGGGGGCCCUUGUUCAAAGAUUCUUAAAAAUUCCAAGACAGCGACAGCAGAGCAUUAACCCGAGCAAGGGGUGCCCGUACCCCAGGGCUCAGCUGUUGACGCAGUGGGAAGUCAGCAGCAAGCCGAGGCGUCUUCUCAGCCCGCGUGCCUCUGACCCGCUGCCGCCUUGCUCCCGCCUCUCAGAGCCUUGUGUCUCAGUCUUCACUCAGUUUACGUGGGGCAAAGGGGAGCUUCUCACUGACGCACUCAAGACCCCAGCAGUCAGAAGAGACUUGGCAAGAAGACACCCUGUGCACCCGGGCCCCGACUUCUAGAACCAUGGGAUACACGGCCUUCCCCUGAUCCCACCCAAAUCCCUCCUGUGGCAACGUCGGCCCGUCCUCUGCCCCAAGUAGCGGGUACUUCCUCAUGGCGCCCAAGACACCCACACUGGUCCUGCGCUCUCACUUCCCCUCUGCGCACGCCUGGAGCAUGACGCUGUCAUCCCGGGUUUCUCUCCACUUCGCGUCAGUAAAUCCUGCACAGGUACCCACCCCUGCACCCUCUCCACCUGCACCCGGUCAUAGCCACCACCCUCCCAGACCAGGUGGCUGCAGUGUUGGCUGCAUCGGCCUCCCCUACCCACCCUCCAGAAUGCAUUUCCCAGUCGAGCAGCCAAGGUGCUCCUGCCAAGCGCUCCGGCUCUCCCUGCAGGGGACACGCAGGCCCGCCUCAGGGCCCUGGAGUCAAAGCCUCAGGCUGCGGCAGCUCCUCUGAGACAAGUGGUCCCAGACCCCAAGGACCAGUCCCCUGCGUCCCCAACUCCAGGCCGACCUUCAGUCCGAGCUGGGCUGUUUGGCUACUUGUUUUCCAACCUGUUGAAGGUCCCCCUGCCCUGCCCUCCAAGCUGAGACUCCCAGCGGUCGGAGCACACGUGCCUGAGGGCAGGCACAGGGCAGGAGGGUGGCUGGCAGAGCGCAAGACCCCUCCACCCGCCGCUUCAGUGGUCUCAGUGGGCGGAUGAAGAGAUGCUGCCUCCAGACACUGCCUCCAGCCCGGGGCUCCCUGGGGAGGUGUCCCCCCCAGACUUCCAAUCCCGGAAAGGGGUGGGCAUCUCCCUAAAGGAGGGAGGAAGGAGGAGGAUGGGCCGGGGUGUGGAGGUGUAGAGGUAACCCCCCCUUCUUCUUUCCACCUCCACUCCAGAGCUGGUCCACGUGGGGGGAUCUUGGGGAUGAGCGCUUAAGGAGGCUGCUGGUCUGCCUGGAAUCCCCCUGGGGUUGUUCGAAUGCAGAAUCCAAGGCCUUCCCAGCCCACGCUGUACCCGCCUCUCUGCGGGUAAUCCUUACAUACAUCCGCGUUUAGGAACCUUGGGGAGGGCUGGAGAGAGGGGUGAACACGGGGGUCUGCCUGGUGGGGGAAGCAGAGUGAGGGACUGCACAGGGUGGGGGAUGCUGAAGAUAGAGACCAAGUCCAGAGCCUUGCAAAGGCCCCGCCCCUCCCCCAAGCCAGCACUUAAUCCUGUCCCUGCUACUUAACCUCUCCCACCAGAGACCCGGGCACUUUAACUCCAUUUAAAUAAGCCCUUGAGGGCUCAGAAGAAAUUGCUGCCAGCAAUUCAGAAGCCCUGAGCCCUGAGGGCAGUCAGAGGCUUUCUGUCCAGCUGCCCUGGGUUCCAGGCUGUUGCCAGAAGCCUCCGCACGGCUUGGAGGCCCAAGCCUGCCAUCCAGGGCAGGGGGCUCCCCUGGGAGGAUGCCACCAGUACCCAAAAGCCUGGCCCAGGCCUCUUGGGCCCCACUCACUGGCCGCCUGGCUUAGCUUCCCCCAGUUCUCUUUAGCUCAAGCAAGGCGGGCCCCAGUUGGGCAGACCUGGACCCCAAUCCUCUUCCGGGCUGAGAAUGCUGGGCAAUUACUUAGCCCAAUUACUGCCGUGGGCAACUACUUCCUCUUCUGCAAAAUGAGCUUCACAGCUCUUGUAAGGGUUGAAUGAACGAUGUCCAUAAAACCCCUGGCCUGGUACCUGGCAGGUUGGAGAGGUUCGUGGCCACGGAGAAGAAGCGCUCAGUACCAGGAGUGGUGUGAGCAGAACCAGUCCCUCCAGGGCUAAGCAGAAUGGGUCCCUCCAGCAUCCCUGAGCCUCCAGCAUCCGAGCCGCUCAGCACCCAGAAGAGCUGAUCAUUAAACAUUUACCAGCACAUCUCUGAUGAAGGCAUUGAGGAUGGGUGAAAUUUCUGGAAGACUGUGAGCUUGGUGGGUCUCUACCCUGGCUGCACGUGAGGGUCACCUGAGGAGCUCUUAGCAAAUCCCAACACUCAAACACCACUCCAGACGGAUUGAAUCAGAAACCGGAGGAAGCAGAGGAAUGGGGGCAGUGAGCUAGAGAGGGUCCCGGGGUCACAGGAGAAGACUGCCCGCCAGAGUGUGUUAGCCGGCGAACCGAAUGCCCUUUGACUGGGAGGUGCUGCUGACGCUGACGAGAGAGAAGAGACAAAGUCCAUGGAUGACCAAGGAGUGAGGUCCAGAGGCCACACGGCAGGAGAAGAGCCAGCCAGCUCUAGAGACCAGAAGUCCAAAAUCAACGUGUCAACAGGGUCACGCUGCCCCGAAGGCUCUAGGGGAGGACGCUUCUUUGUCUCUUCCAGCUUCCAGCGGCCCCAGGUGUCCUUGGCUCAUGGCUGCAUCACUUCCAUCUCUGCCUCCACCCUCACGUGGCCUUCUGGAGACGUCAGAAUGUCUCUGUGCGUCUUCUCCUCUUCAGUCUCUUACAUGGGCGCUCGUCAUUAUAUUUGGGGUCCGCCCUGAUCCAGGAGGAUCUCAUCUCGGGGUCCUUACUUUAACUACAUCUGCAAAGACCUUUAUUCCAAGUAGGGUCACAUUCUGAGGUUCCGGGAGACAUAUUGCGGGGGCUACUAUCCAACCCAUUAUAGUCUCCCCCUUGCCCCCCAAAUUCACAUCCAUCCCACGUGCAAACUACAUUCACCUCUCAUGCCCUCUUGCAUAUUGUUCAACUGUCUUUGCCUCGGUUUACCCCGCAGAGCUGAGGACAAUAAUGACCACCUCAUGCAGUGGUCGUGUGGAUAACAUAGGAGUGUAUUUACCGGGCGCCCAGCCCAAGGCUCGGUGGGACCAAGUCACGGGAGCUGCCGUCAGACAGUCCUCAGCCCCCACCACCCCUCCCCAGCUCCACCUUCUGAAACGAUAAUCUCCACGACAACGGGGACUUGUGUCUGUUUAACUCACUCCACAUUGUUCCACAAACCCCAGGCCCUCCUGCCGGCUGGUCACGAUGUGUGGAGACCCAGGGCCUCGUCGGGGCCCAGGGAAUAAAAGAGAAGAUCUGGGGGCGCGGCUUCCAGCCGGAGGUGUGGGGUCAAGUCCCAGCCCUGCCGCCACCACACACAGUUGGAACCUCAGUUUACCCCUCUGUAAGUGGGGGAUAAGGCAGGUCUGAGCCACCAGAACACAACCCUGCGUGCUGCCAUCCUGGGCACACAACCCAGUGGGUUCCCAGCCCCCUGCGCAAUCCAGCAGGCGGCUCCCCAGGAGCUGGAUGGCGCCCUGGCCCCCCUCUCGUGGCCUCUUCUAGCCAGCGGCCAGGGUGGACGUUAGCCCAGCCCUGCCCAGCCGAGCCAUCCAGGCCACCCCCACGUGUCCAAGGCUGGCACUGGGUUUGGUGUUAAAAGACCCCCUUCACAAGCAGUGAGCCGAAGACCCAAAAUAGAUGACACGGGUGCCCCAAGCCUGAUUCUGCUUCUCAGAGAGCACCCUGCCCCCAACAGAGUCCUGAGGACUGCCUGGGCUCGGUCCCCUGACCGGGCACUUCCUGGACCCAUAUAGACCCAGCAGAGGGGUCAACUCACACCCAGGGCAAAAAGUCUCCCGCUUGCACCCAGGGGUCGCCGUUCAAGGUCAACAGGGACUGAGGGACCCUCCACAGGGCAGCAGUGACAGCUCCUGGGCUCCAAGCCCCAUGGCCCCCAGGCGCUCCACGGGCCCCACAUGCGAGGCUCCCGGGACUCUGGAGCCUGCGGCUGGGCCGCAUGUGACGUCUUCUUCCGCAGAGAGCAGCGAGGUGCACAGCUCAGGCCCGCUGGCCUACAGGUGAUGUGCGUCCCUGGCCCCAGGGAUCCUCAUCCUGGGUGGGGGUUCUCACUCGGGCUUGGCUGUCCGGCACCUCCCUGUCUUAACAGCAAUCAUAAAAACAAUAAAAAUAACAGUACUAGUUAACAUGUGUGUGCCUUGCUCCCGCCUGGUGCUGCGCAAAGCACUUCACCUGUUCACCCAGUCAAACUUCAGGACUACCAACCCACUUAUCACCAGCCUCCCUUUCAGCAUGGGGAAACUGAGGCACAGGGCAACAACUCACUUCCUCAAGGUCCAGGGGGAGUCAAUGGCCGAGCUGGGAUGCGGAACCCUGUAGGCUGGCUGCUGGUGUCUGUGUCUUCAGCCCUCCCCUCUCUGGUUGGCAUUCGAGUCUUCAAAUCCGUGCUGCUCAGAGAGAGACAGCGCUUCUGAGGUGCUUCUUCACAGACAACCAGGUGAAGACGGGCCUCAGGAACUGCUAAUCCAGCAGGCUCCUCCUCAAGUCCUGGGAGCUGGCCCCGUGCCCCAGGGUCUAGCCCUGACCCUGUAUCUGGCCAGCAUGUACUGGUCCCCUACUCCCCUGCUCAAACCUCCAAAGGCCUUCCAUACGAAUUAGAAUCAAGUCCAAACUCCUAGCCACAGCACCGGGGCAAGCUGCCUUCCUCCUCCCCCAAUCUGCUCUCCUGCCCUGUUCCCCUCUGCUCCACUUCCUGCCUUCCUUCUGGUUCCCGAACACGCCCAGUUUGUACCUGCCUCAGGGCCUUUGCACCUGCUGUCCCUGCAGUCUUUACAUGGCUGGCUCCUUCUCAACAUGCGGGUCAUACUUCACCUGGAACUUGCUCAGUGAGGCCUUCUCUGACCACCCAGGCUAAAGCAGACUUAAUGCAAACACACUGAAAGAACGAGACAAAAGGAUGAUUCUUUCCCACCAGCAAGGGGAGGGUCAGGGCUGGGAUUGGACCAGCCCCUCCUUGCGUUCAGCAGAUACAGAGGCCGGGAGAGUGGACAUGAUCAGUCCCAGGACACAAGGUCCCCUAACAAGCCGGGAGGACAGACAGAGAGAGCAGCGUGGGGCAGCGCCGAGGAUAACGGGGCCUUUGUCCAGGGGCCUGGGGCCAUCUGCCUUCAGGACAAUGCCUUAGGGGUCUGGCAUCCCGAGGAUUUGUGCUGCCUACACGAGGCAGCAUCCUGUCCUGGGAGGAGAAGCACCCCUGGGAGGGGUGCGGACGGGUGCGCCAUCCACAGGCCCAAAUGCCUCCUUCCUUAGGAUCCCAUCCGACAGCCAGGGCUCCCGGCUUCCCCACCCUGUGCCCUCAUCCCUACCCCCGGGUCCUCUCGGGGCGCCCAGCACCUCAGUUUUACCGCCCGCUGUGUCCCAGGCCUGGGCCUCUCCCCCCAAGUCCUAGACUUCUUUAGGGCUCCCUAUGGAGCUGACCGGGUCCCCUCAGACCAUUUUAUUAAACACACUUCACUUAUUUACAGUAAUCUCAAUGCCUCCUCCGGGCUGCUCCCUGUAUGAGGCACUGGUCAAUGUCCAGCAUUAGCAACCAGCUCUCUUGGGAAAGGAAGGAAAAAAUAUAUACAUAUAUAUAUAAAAUAAAUUGUACUGACAUAAAGGAUGUGUAUCACACAAUUUACAAAUUAUAAUAAAAUGUAAACUCCGUACGAGCAGGUGAUUCACAGAACUCUUUCUUUCGUGGACUUUUGGCCCAACUCGUGGAUCAGUAGCCAACCUGUGCUUGCAAUUGACGAACGCGUGUAGUUCGGACACAAACGUUGGUUGACAUUUUCAUUUCAG